Molecule: transfer RNA, 90 nt
Filed under: Dehalococcoidia bacterium
Lineage: Bacteria; Bacillati; Chloroflexota; Dehalococcoidia
Description: tRNA-Ser
Rfam family: tRNA
About the family: Transfer RNA (tRNA) molecules are approximately 80 nucleotides in length. Their secondary structure includes four short double-helical elements and three loops (D, anti-codon, and T loops).
Source: RNAcentral
GGAGAGGUGCUGGAGCGGUUUAACAGGCACGUCUGGAAAGCGUGUGUCGUCGUAAGGCGACCGCGGGUUCGAAUCCCGCCCUCUCCGCCA